Molecule: non-coding RNA, 203 nt
Organism: Pelobates cultripes (western spadefoot toad)
Lineage: Eukaryota; Metazoa; Chordata; Amphibia; Anura; Pelobatidae
Source: the annotation of a GenBank genome assembly
UUGAAGUAGCAAACUUCAAAUCUAACAGCAGAUGUUCCUGCAAUACUUUCAACCAUUCAGCAUGUUCUGCUCCAACUUUGAAUGUACUUGGAACAAAAGGUUCAUUAGGGAAAGUGAUUACAUAGUUCUACAUGUCAUUAACUCAUGAGGUGACACUUAAGUUUGGAUUUGCAGGAAUAGACAUUAAUACUCCUGGUAAAUAU